AACGAACGCUGGCGGCAGGCUUAACACAUGCAAGUCGAACGAGAUCUUCGGAUCUAGUGGCAGACGGGUGAGGAACACGUGGGAACAUCCCUUUCAGUUCGGAAUAACGUUGGGAAACUAACGCUAAUACCGGAUACGUCCUUCGGGAGAAAGAUUUAUCGCUGAAAGAUUGGCCCGCGUCUGAUUAGCUAGUUGGUGAGGUAAUGGCUCACCAAGGCUACGAUCAGUAGCUGAUCUGAGAGGAUGAUAAGCCACAUUGGGACUGAGACACGGCCCAAACGCCUACAGGAGGCAGCAGUGGAGAAUAUUGGACAAUGGGCGCAAGCCUGGUCCAGCCAUGCCGCGUGAGUGAUGACGGCCUUCGGGUUGUAAAGCUCUUUUGUCCGGGAAGAUAAUGACUGUACCGGAAGAAUAAGCCCCGGCAAACUUCGUGCCAGCCGCCGCCGUAA
RNAcentral lists this ribosomal RNA (449 nucleotides) under uncultured bacterium. RNAcentral's name for it is "partial 16S ribosomal RNA". It matches the Rfam family "Bacterial small subunit ribosomal RNA", at positions 29 to 523 of the family's 1533-position model. The record is from RNAcentral.